GAUGAACGCUGGCGGCGUGCCUAAUACAUGCAAGUCGAACGCACAGCGAAAGGUGCUUGCACCUUUCAAGUGAGUGGCGAACGGGUGAGUAACACGUGGACAACCUGCCUCAAGGCUGGGGAUAACAUUUGGAAACAGAUGCUAAUACCGAAUAAAACUUAGUGUCGCAUGACACAAAGUUAAAAGGCGCUUCGGCGUCACCUAGAGAUGGAUCCGCGGUGCAUUAGUUAGUUGGUGGGGUAAAGGCCUACCAAGACAAUGAUGCAUAGCCGAGUUGAGAGACUGAUCGGCCACAUUGGGACUGAGACACGGCCCAAACUCCUACGGGAGGCUGCAGUAGGGAAUCUUCCACAAUGGGCGAAAGCCUGAUGGAGCAACGCCGCGUGUGUGAUGAAGGCUUUCGGGUCGUAAAGCACUGUUGUAUGGGAAGAACAGCUAGAAUAGGAAAUGAUUUUAGUUUGACGGUACCAUACCAGAAAGGGACGGCUAAAUACGUGCCAGCAGCCGCGGUAAUACGUAUGUCCCGAGCGUUAUCCGGAUUUAUUGGGCGUAAAGCGAGCGCAGACGGUUUAUUAAGUCUGAUGUGAAAGCCCGGAGCUCAACUCCGGAAUGGCAUUGGAAACUGGUUAACUUGAGUGCAGUAGAGGUAAGUGGAACUCCAUGUGUAGCGGUGGAAUGCGUAGAUAUAUGGAAGAACACCAGUGGCGAAGGCGGCUUACUGGACUGCAACUGACGUUGAGGCUCGAAAGUGUGGGUAGCAAACAGGAUUAGAUACCCUGGUAGUCCACACCGUAAACGAUGAACACUAGGUGUUAGGAGGUUUCCGCCUCUUAGUGCCGAAGCUAACGCAUUAAGUGUUCCGCCUGGGGAGUACGACCGCAAGGUUGAAACUCAAAGGAAUUGACGGGGACCCGCACAAGCGGUGGAGCAUGUGGUUUGAUUCGAAGCAACGCGAAGAACCUUACCAGGUCUUGACAUCCUUUGAAGCUUUUAGAGAUAGAAGUGUUCUCUUCGGAGACAAAGUGACAGGUGGUGCAUGGUCGUCGUCAGCUCGUGUCGUGAGAUGUUGGGUUAAGUCCCGCAACGAGCGCAACCCUUAUUGUUAGUUGCCAGCAUUCAGAUGGGCACUCUAGCGAGACUGCCGGUGACAAACCGGAGGAAGGCGGGGACGACGUCAGAUCAUCAUGCCCCUUAUGACCUGGGCUACACACGUGCUACAAUGGCGUAUACAACGAGUUGCCAACCCGCGAGGGUGAGCUAAUCUCUUAAAGUACGUCUCAGUUCGGAUUGUAGUCUGCAACUCGACUACAUGAAGUCGGAAUCGCUAGUAAUCGCGGAUCAGCACGCCGCGGUGAAUACGUUCCCGGGUCUUGUACACACCGCCCGUCACACCAUGGGAGUUUGUAAUGCCCAAAGCCGGUGGCCUAACCUUUUAGGAAGGAGCCGUCUAAGGCAGGACAGAUGACUGGGGUG
Molecule: ribosomal RNA, 1473 nt
Filed under: Leuconostoc mesenteroides
Lineage: Bacteria; Bacillati; Bacillota; Bacilli; Lactobacillales; Lactobacillaceae
Description: bacterial SSU rRNA
Rfam family: Bacterial small subunit ribosomal RNA
Source: RNAcentral